This 117-nucleotide small RNA is filed under the name Pongo abelii (Sumatran orangutan). RNAcentral describes it as "Metazoan signal recognition particle RNA (ENSPPYG00000034714.1)". Lineage: Eukaryota; Metazoa; Chordata; Mammalia; Primates; Hominidae. The record is from Rfam by way of RNAcentral.
GCCAGGCGCGGUGGCUCACGCCUGUAAUCCCAGUACUUUGGGAGGCUGAGGUGGGUGGAUCACCUGAGGUCAGGAGUUCGAGGCCAGCCUGGCCAACAUGGUGAAACCCCAUCUCUA